UACGUAGGGUGCAAGCGUUGUCCGGAAUUAUUGGGCGUAAAGAGCUCGUAGGCGGUCUGUCGCGUCGGCUGUGAAAACCCGGGGCUCAACCCCGGGCCUGCAGUCGAUACGGGCGGGCUAGAGUUCGGUAGGGGAGACUGGAAUUCCUGGUGUAGCGGUGAAAUGCGCAGAUAUCAGGAGGAACACCGGUGGCGAAGGCGGGUCUCUGGGCCGAUACUGACGCUGAGGAGCGAAAGCGUGGGGAGCGAACAGG
This 253-nucleotide ribosomal RNA is filed under the name uncultured bacterium. Its description in RNAcentral is "partial 16S ribosomal RNA". It matches the Rfam family "Bacterial small subunit ribosomal RNA", at positions 524 to 776 of the family's 1533-position model. The record is from RNAcentral.